Molecule: ribosomal RNA, 1467 nt
Filed under: Triticum aestivum (bread wheat)
Lineage: Eukaryota; Viridiplantae; Streptophyta; Magnoliopsida; Poales; Poaceae
Description: partial small subunit ribosomal RNA
Source: RNAcentral
AUGGAGGCGACCCUGUCCCCAAAACCUCACUUCGUGGUCAUCCCAUGGCCAACCACCAGCCACAUCAUCCCCAUCGUCGACAUCGGCUGCCUCCUCGCCCUGCACGGCGCCGCAGUCACCAUCCUCACGACGCCCGCCAGCGCGCAGCUCGUCCAGAGCCGCGUGGACCGCGUCGGCGCCCAGGGCGACUCUGCCGGGAUCGAGGUCGCCGUGAUCCCGUACCCGUCCGUCGAGGCCGGGCUGCCGGAGGGGUGCGAGAGGCUGGACCACGUCCCCUCGCCCGACUUGGUGCCCAGCUUCUUCGACGCCACCACGCGAUUCGGCGACGCGGUGGCACGGCACUGCCGACUCAUGGCGUCGCCGCGGCGUCCGAGCUGCGUCAUCGCCGGAAUGUGCAACACGUGGGCGAGCGGCAUCGCGCGUGAGCUCGGCGUGCCCUGCUAUAUCUUCCAAGGCUUCUCCGCGUUCGCGUUGCUGUGCUGCGAGUACCUGCACACGCACAAGCCGCACGAGGCGGUCGCGUCGCCAGACGAGCUCUUCGACGUCCCGGUCCUGCCGCCCUUCGAGUGCAAGUUCGCGAGGAGGCAGCUUCCGCUGCAGUUCCUACCGUCCUGCUCCAUCGAUGCGGAGAGUCUGCAAGAGCUCCGCGAGUUCGAGUUGGCCGUCGACGGCAUCGUGGUGAACAGCUUCGAAGAACUAGAGCACGACUCCGCUGCGCGCCUCGCCGCAGCCACCGGCAAGACCGUGCUCGCCGUCGGGCCAGUUUCCCUGUGCCACGCGCCUGCUCUGGACGUCUCAGACGAUGCAACGCGGUGCAUGGCGUGGCUGGACGCCAAGAAGGCCAAGUCCGUGCUCUACGUCAGCUUCGGCAGCGCCGGGCGCAUGCCCCCGGCGCAGCUCAUGGAGCUCGGCAUGGCGCUCGUGUCGUGCCCCUGGCCUGUCCUGUGGGUCAUCAAGGGCGCCGACGCGUUGCCCGACGAUGUCAAGAUGUGGUUACAGGAGAACACGGACGCUGACGGCCUCGCGGACAGCCAGUGCCUUGCGGUGCGCGGCUGGGCGCCGCAGGUACCCAUCCUGUCGCACCCGGCCGUGGCGGGCUUCAUGACGCACUGCGGAUGGGGCUCCACGCUGGAGAGCGUCGCCGCAGGCGUGCCCAUGGCCGCCUGGCCGUUCACCGCGGAGCAGUUCCUGAACGAGAAGCUGAUCGUGAACGUGCUCGGGAUCGGCGUCUCCGUCGGCGUGACCAAGCCCACGGAGGGCGUGCUGACGGGUGGCAGCGGCGGGGCGAAGGUGGAGGUCGGGAUGGAACAGGUGAAGAGCGCCUUGGAGAAGCUCAUGGACGGAGGAGCCGAAGGGGAAGAUAGGAUUAGGAAGGUUCAGGAGCUGAAGGCGAAAGCGAAGGCUGCUUUGGAGAACGGCGGGUCGUCGUGCAUGAAUCUGGACAAGCUGGUCCAAUCCGUCGUCUGA